UCAUUUUACUUUUGAACUAUUAAAUAUCCAUAGGAGUGGAAUUCUUUCUCUUCUGUGCUUUGUAAUUUAUUUGCUCAGUUCAUGCUACCAAAAUCUUUUGGUCACACUUGUGAAAACUCUGUAAAGACAAAAGUGGCAUCUGCCUGCCAAAGAAGCAAUCAGUCACAUAGGGAAUGUCUGAGUCUUCUUUCAAAAAUUUAGAGUCAUUCUUCAGUUUAAGUAGAAAUUGAGAGAGAUUCAAAUUUGCCUCCAGGAAUUAUUUUGCAAUGGCAUCUCUUCUGUGCACAGCCUUGUGACAUUAUUUAGAGUUACUUUCAAUACGUGGGUGCUGAGCAGUGGUACUGGCAGCAGCUUGGAAGAAUUUAUCUGAGCUGGUGGAAAUACAGUGAAGCUGGUAAAAUUUGGAGAUUUGGUUUUUUUUUACUCUCAAUUAAAGGAUUUGUUUAAGAGUUCUGAAUCAAAAAAUUUAUUCCUCUGGUCAGAAAGUAGCUCAAGAAACACACAGCAUCAAUCACAGUCAAGAAAAAGAUUCACAACUAGCUCAUUCUGAUCAGCCUCUAACACAAGCUUUUUUUUUUUAGGUUCUCAUUAUUGAGAUGAUAUUAAUAUUUUCCAUUCAGUCCAUGGUCAGCGCUGCUGGAAAAGCUCUGCAUUGCUGAAAUUUGGGCUGGUUUCACAGUGUUUCCAGACAAGGCAGAUUUCAAGACAGUAGAGGUUAGGAUACCUCAUGUAGCCUCUCUGGGAGAUUGUUCACCAUCUCACCUUGGCUUUUUUUUCUACUUUCUGCAGGACAGAAAUGAGUUUGUGUCCUCUCACUCAACUUCCUACAAAACAAAGCCUUGUGCUUUUAUGUGACCCCUCUGCUCCUGUCCUGCCUUUUCCUCGAGCUGCACUUUGUGUCAAGUGGAUCUCCUGCUGCACUCUGCUCCCUCAAAGCAAGGAGAAAAAUUAUCAGACACAGGGGAAAAUCUCAGUUGAGAGAAGCAGAAAGGAUUGGCCUUUUCUGCUCUGGAAAGGAAAAAGAGAAUGAGUGAAAGAAAUGAACACAAAGCAAUGCCUGGAGUAGAAAGGGGCAAAUACAGUCUUCAAAUGGAACACUUCUCGAACUCAUGGGGGUUUUUUUUGGAGUUACUUCCAUCUGUCUUUGAAUAAACUAGCUCUGCUCUGUGUUCUGCA
Molecule: long non-coding RNA, 1176 nt
Organism: Catharus ustulatus (Swainson's thrush)
Lineage: Eukaryota; Metazoa; Chordata; Aves; Passeriformes; Turdidae
Exons: 2
Source: RefSeq, a predicted model, not a curated record